AUUGAACGCUGGCGGCAUGCUUUACACAUGCAAGUCGAACGGUAACAGGCCGCAAGGUGCUGACGGGUGGCGAACGGGUGAGUAAUGCAUCGGAACGUGCCCAGUCGUGGGGGAUAACUACUCGAAAGAGUAGCUAAUACCGCAUACGAUCUAUGGAUGAAAGCGGGGGACCGUAAGGCCUCGCGCGAUUGGAGCGGCCGAUGUCAGAUUAGGUAGUUGGUGGGGUAAAGGCUCACCAAGCCAACGAUCUGUAGCUGGUCUGAGAGGACGACCAGCCACACUGGGACUGAGACACGGCCCAGACUCCUACGGGAGGCAGCAGUGGGGAAUUUUGGACAAUGGGCGCAAGCCUGAUCCAGCAAUGCCGCGUGCAGGAAGAAGGCCUUCGGGUUGUAAACUGCUUUUGUACGGAACGAAACGGCUCUGGUUAAUACCCGGGGCUAAUGACGGUACCGUAAGAAUAAGCACCGGCUAACUACGUG
This 482-nucleotide ribosomal RNA is filed under the name uncultured bacterium. Its description in RNAcentral is "partial 16S ribosomal RNA". It matches the Rfam family "Bacterial small subunit ribosomal RNA", at positions 30 to 507 of the family's 1533-position model. The record is from RNAcentral.